RNAcentral lists this ribosomal RNA (2867 nucleotides) under Triticum aestivum (bread wheat). RNAcentral's name for it is "partial small subunit ribosomal RNA". The record is from RNAcentral. Lineage: Eukaryota; Viridiplantae; Streptophyta; Magnoliopsida; Poales; Poaceae.
CCCUCCUCGGCAAGCUCGCGGAGCUGGCUGGCGGCGAGUACAACAAGCUCAAGGGGGUGAAGAAGCAGGCGUCCUUCCUCGAGAAGGAGCUCAGCGCGAUGAACUUCGCACUUGAGAAGAUGGAGCUCAUGGAUGAGCUCGAUCCGGUGGCUAGGGACUGGAGAGACCAUGUCCGGGAGAUGUCCUAUGACAUGGAUAAUUGCAUCGACGACUUCGUGCGUCAGUUUGGAGGUGGUCAUGCCAAGGUAGGCUUCAUCAAGAAGACCGCCCGACGUCUGAAGAUGUUGGGAGAACGCCAUCGGAUUUCUGACCGGAUGGAAGAGCUCAAGGCUCUUGCGCUAGAGGCAAAUGAACGACGCCUCAGGUACAAGAUUGAUGAAUGCAAUCCUAACUCUAGCUCUGUGACUAUUGAUCCUCGGAUGUCAACGAUAUAUGUGGAGGAAGCUGGCCUUGUGGGCAUUGAAGGCCCAAGUGAGGAGCUUCUCAAUUUGUUGACAGAUACUGAGGAGAAGCUCAAAGUGGUGUCCAUUUUGGGAUUCGGAGGAUUGGGUAAAACUACACUAGCCAAACAGGUGUACGAUGAGAUCAGAGGGAAGUUUGAAUGUACAGCAUUUGUUUCCGUAUCCCAAAGACCUAACAUGACAGGGCUUCUCUAUCGUAUACAACUAAAACUUGGAAUGAAUCGGUCUUCUCGGGUAUAUGAGGUGCAAGACAUCAUUGAAGACCUUAGGCAAUAUCUCACACACAAAAGGUACCUUAUUGUAGUUGACGACUUGUGGGACCAGUCAGCAUGGAACACUAUCAGUCGCGCCUUUCCAGAAAAUGCUAAUGGGUGUAGAGUAAUAGUAACCACACGAGUGGAAGGCGUGGCUUAUGGAGCAUGUUAUGGUCACCCUGAGUGCAUUUAUGGAAUGAAGCCCCUUGGCGAGAAAGACUCAAAAAAGUUGUUUCUCCAUAGAGUAUAUGGGUGUGAAGAGGACCAUCCAUCCCAAUUGGAAGACAUUUCAACUGAAAUUCUUAAGAAGUGUGGUGGGCUCCCACUUGCAAUUAUUACUAUUGCUAGCCUAUUAGCUAGUCAUCCUGAAGAGUUAAGGGAUGAGUGGAAGAGCAUCAGGAAUUCGCUUGGAACCCAGUUUGCGGCAAAUCCCACGCUGGAAGGGAUGAAGAAUAUAUUAAACCUUAGCUACAUCCAUCUUCCCCUUCAUCUCCGGGCAUGUUUCCUUCACCUUGGUAUAUAUCCAGAAGACCGCGAGAUCGAGAGGGAUGAUUUGGUUCGACAAUGGUCGGCCAAAGGACUUGUCAAUAAAUUGCAUGGGCAAGAUUCUGAGGUUGUUGCCAAGAGCUAUUUUAAUGACCUUAUCAAUAGAAGCUUGAUUCAGCCUGGGCGUACUGAGGAUGGCGAGUUGGUAUCAUGCAGAGUACCUGAUAUGAUGCUCGACUUGAUCUUAAGUAAGUGUGAAGAGCAUAAUUUUCUGAGAGUUGAAUGCAAUUCUGAAGACAUAGCACGAGACCAUGGCCGAAAAUAUAAGGUCCGUCGUAUAUCGAUGAAUUUCAGUAAUGAUGGUGCAACAGAUGGGAUAAUAUCAGGGAGCAAUCAUUCUAGCCUGUCACAAGUUCGAUCACUUGCUCUUUUCGGGGAAUCGAAGUACAUGCCCCCUCUUUUGCAUUUCAAGCAUCUUAGGGUGUUUUUCUUUAAAAGUUUUUGUGACAAAGCUAUUGAUCUCACUGUUGUUAGCCAAUUGUUCCAACUAAGGUAUUUAAAUGUUUCAUUUGAAGGAAACAUAAAACUCCCUACUAAAAUACAGGGCCUUGUGCAUUUGGAGACACUAGAAUUACAUUGCAAUGAGUUAGAAACCCCAUCGGAUAUAGCUCUCUCUAAAAGUUGGGGUGCCAAACCAAUUGAUCUCACUGCUAUUAGCCAAUUGUUCCAACUGAGGCAUUUAAAGAUUUCAUUUAGAGGAUUCUCACUUGAAAGGAAAAUUGAACUCCCUACUCAAUUGCAAGGGCUUGUGCAUCUGCGGACACUGGAAUUAGAUUGCUCCGGAGAGUUAGAAAUCCCAUCAGAUAUAGUUCACUUGCUCCGCUUAUCCCACUUGACAGUUCCAUUUGGGACCCAGCUGCCUAAAGGUAUUAAGAACAUGACAUCAUUGCACACUUUGGGUCGGUUCGACCUGGAUGAGAGCUCAUUGGAGGAUAUCGAGGGACUCGGUGAGCUGACCAAUCUAAGACGUCUGGGGCUCUCAGUGUCUUUUCCAGACCAUUUAAGGACUACAGCAUGGGUUGCUUUGGCUCAUUCUAUUGGGAUGUUGCAUGAUCUCAGACAUCUCUGUGUCAGUGGCGAUUCCUCUCAUACGAGCGACAUGUUGGGCUCAUUAUCAGAUCAUUCUCCUCAUAUCAAGGUACUUGAGCUGGGUCGUCUUAGGAUGCCUAGAGUUCCCAAAUGGAUUUGUGGUCUCCAAUGCCUCUGCCGGCUAGAGCUGAAUGUUGACACGUGCACUGACGAGUUGCACGCUCUUGGAGAGCUGCCCUCUCUCGUGCACCUCCGUUUACAUAUGUGGAGCUUCUCUGCGGGAUCAUUUCCAGUUCUAGAGUUAUGUGAAUGUAAAUCAGAGUAUGAUGUUACUGCGUACCUGGCCUUUGGGGCAGGGGCUAUGCCCAAACUAAGUUGGCUUGAACUACAAUUCGACAAGAGUAACUGGGGCGGCUCUGCACCAGUUGGCUUGGAGCACCUGUUGAGCCUCAAUUCUGUCUAUGUAAUCAUCCGCGGCCCCGAAGAAGCGAAGGAGGAAGCAGAGUCUGCCUUCAGGAACUGUACGCAGCUGCAUCCAAACCGUCCUUGGUUUCACAUCUGCAGUAUACCACGAUAA